This 253-nucleotide ribosomal RNA is filed under the name uncultured bacterium. RNAcentral describes it as "partial 16S ribosomal RNA". It matches the Rfam family "Bacterial small subunit ribosomal RNA", at positions 524 to 776 of the family's 1533-position model. The record is from RNAcentral.
UACAGAGGGGGCAAGCGUUAUUCGGAAUUAUUGGGCGUAAAGGGCGCGUAGGCGGCCUGGCAAGUGGAAGGUGAAAUCCCUCGGCUUAACCGAGGAACUGCCUCCCAAACUGCUUGGCUUGGGACCAGGAGAGGUGAGUGGAAUUCCCAGUGUAGCGGUGAAAUGCGUAGAUAUUGGGAGGAACACCAGUGGCGAAGGCGGCUCACUGGACUGGUACUGACGCUGAGGCGCGAAAGCGUGGGGAGCAAACGGG